This is a long non-coding RNA of Cotesia glomerata, 445 nucleotides long. RefSeq lists it as uncharacterized. The record is from RefSeq and is a predicted model, not a curated record. NCBI's taxonomy places the organism in Eukaryota, Metazoa, Arthropoda, Insecta, Hymenoptera, Braconidae. The transcript is spliced from 3 exons.
UAACAAAAUAAUUUUGGAUGAGUAUUCAUAUCUUAUCGAUACUCAGAUCAGGAGUGCAAGGUAAUUUUAUUGUUAAUAUUAAUGACCACCGCAUCAAGCAUAUAAUAUAUUCUGUUUUGACGUAAACGUAAAGAGGAAUAGUUUCGCAAAUAUUACAUCGAUCAAAAUCAAUAGCCGUAGACAACGCUUGAAUAAAAUGUAAAUUUUACGAAGGGAUCCAUUUCAUUGUGUUCAUUAAGAAGAAUGAAAAAAAAAAUGAACCAAGGGUUCAAUAAAGCUUAUAACAACGAGUCAAUUAUAUCUUAUACAUUACCCUGAAGAUGUAAAAAUUAUGAUACGCAAGAAAAGACCAGAUUGACACCGACACUAUGUAAAAAGUGGAAUAAAAUAAACCAGAUAAAAAACUUCUCCAUGUAUUUAAAAAAAAUCGUUACUUACAAAGAAA